RNAcentral lists this long non-coding RNA (805 nucleotides) under Trifolium pratense (red clover). Its description in RNAcentral is "long non-coding RNA (TPRA_LNC006631)". Lineage: Eukaryota; Viridiplantae; Streptophyta; Magnoliopsida; Fabales; Fabaceae. The record is from RNAcentral.
CAAAUGUGCAGAAACUAAGUCAGGUGAGUCAAAUCUAAAUAUUACAAAAUCAAGUACAUAAUAAUCAGAUCAGGAUGCAAAGAACAUAUACAACUAGUUAAAAAUAUCAGUCUAGAGUAGAGAGAAAAUGCAGACAAAAAAUUACACAAAUAUGGAACCGGUAAAUGCUACUUUCUUUCACCAUGUACCUAAGCACUUAUAUAAUAAGCGAUUAAGCUAUAGAGCUUAAUUAGUUAUUUAUCCAAACAAGGCUUAAGAAUCCAACACAGAAUUCAUUUAAUCAAUGCAUUAUUAGAGUCUCCAAAACAAAGAUGAAUUCAUUGAGAGUCGCCAAUUUCUUCUUAGCAAUUCAACAUGAAUACAUCACCAUAUAAAAUAAUUUAAGAAGCAUAUCUAACUUAUAAACUAAUAAGUCAAGAGAAUGAAGCUAUCUGUCAUCCACAAAACCUGAAAUGCACUUCUAACUGCCACUGCUUGCCCUGAACCCUGCCAUGAAAGAAAAAAGGAAAAAAAUUAAAACUGAACAGCAGCAAAAAAUAAAACAAAACAAAUUUAAGAAAGGAGAUGGGAAAGGCUACAAUCACCGGAGAAAACCCAAUUAACUAUGUCUAAAAAGUUCCCUCGAUCAACCACUGAAGCCACCUAAUAGAACAACCAAAACCAACAACAACUUCCAUUAAAUUCCAAAUCAAAAUGUGUAACAUCAAGCAUAAUAAAUCUAAAACACGUGAAUGUCAAGCCUGAAUAAAAUAAAUGUUUGAAGAAACAUGUCAAGAGGAAACAAAAAAAACUCAAAAAAAAAAAA